Molecule: ribosomal RNA, 500 nt
Filed under: uncultured eukaryote
Lineage: Eukaryota
Description: bacterial SSU rRNA
Rfam family: Eukaryotic small subunit ribosomal RNA
Source: RNAcentral
UAGCAUAUGCUUGACUUGGAGAUUAAGCCAUGCAUGUCUAAGUAUAAGUUAUAUAUGGCAAAACUGCGAAUGGCUCAUUAAAACAGUUAUAAUUUAUUUGAUGAUUGUUUUACAUGGAUAACCGUGGGAAACUGGGGCUAAUACAUGCGAAAAAGCCGCGAGGCUGUAUUUAUUAGUUUCAAAUCAAUAUUACUCCGUAAUUUUGUGAGGAAUCAUAAUAACUAAUCGGAGCGUAGCGAUACGCCUCAUCAUUCAAGUUUCUACCCUAUCAGCUCUCGAUGGUAGUGUAUUGGACUACCAUGGCAAUAACGGGUAACGGGGAAUUGGGGUUCGAUUCCGGAGAAGGAGCCUGAGAAACGGCUACUAUUUCUAAGGAAGGCAGCAGGCGCGUAAAUUACCCAAUCCUGACUCAGGGAGGUAGUUAAUAGAAAUAACUUGAUCGGCUCAUUGAGUAUUGAUCGUGUAAUGAACCAAAUGUAGAAAACUUGGUGAAUCCUAUU